Molecule: ribosomal RNA, 654 nt
Filed under: uncultured Lentimicrobium sp.
Lineage: Bacteria; Pseudomonadati; Bacteroidota; Bacteroidia; Bacteroidales; Lentimicrobiaceae
Description: bacterial SSU rRNA
Rfam family: Bacterial small subunit ribosomal RNA
Source: RNAcentral
AGAGUUUGAUCCUGGCUCAGGAUGAACGCUAGCGGCAGGCUUAAUACAUGCAAGUCGAACGGGAUUCGGGGUAGCAAUACUUUGAUGAGAGUGGCGCACGGGUGCGUAACGCGUAUGCAACCUACCUUUAACAGGGGAAUAGCCCCGAGAAAUCGGGAUUAAUACUCCGUAACAUUGCGGUGUGGCAUCACACUGCAAUUAAAGAUUUAUCGGUUAAAGAUGGGCAUGCGUGACAUUAGCUAGUUGGUGAGGUAACGGCUCACCAAGGCAACGAUGUCUAGGGGUCCUGAGAGGGUUAUCCCCCACACUGGUACUGAGACACGGACCAGACUCCUACGGGAGGCAGCAGUAAGGAAUAUUGGUCAAUGGGCGCAAGCCUGAACCAGCCAUGCCGCGUGCAGGAAGACGGCCCUAUGGGUUGUAAACUGCUUUUAUCAGGGAAUAAACCCCCGCUCGUGAGCGGGGCUGAAGGUACCUGAAGAAUAAGCAUCGGCUAACUCCGUGCCAGCAGCCGCGGUAAUACGGAGGAUGCAAGCGUUAUCCGGAUUCAUUGGGUUUAAAGGGUGCGCAGGCGGAUUGGUAAGUCAGGGGGUGAAAUCCCACAGCUCAACUGUGGAACUGCCUUUGAUACUGUCAGUCUAGAGUAUAGUUGAA